This 63-nucleotide microRNA precursor is filed under the name Podarcis lilfordi (Lilford's wall lizard). Lineage: Eukaryota; Metazoa; Chordata; Lepidosauria; Squamata; Lacertidae. The record is from RNAcentral.
AGUGCAGCUCUGCGCGGCCAUCGGGAGCGGGGCCCAGCUCCCGAUGGCUGCGCAGAGCUGCCU